Molecule: ribosomal RNA, 238 nt
Filed under: Shigella sp. FC1967
Lineage: Bacteria; Pseudomonadati; Pseudomonadota; Gammaproteobacteria; Enterobacterales; Enterobacteriaceae
Description: partial 16S ribosomal RNA
Rfam family: Bacterial small subunit ribosomal RNA
Source: RNAcentral
AGAUUGAACGCUGGCGGCAGGCCUAACACAUGCAAGUCGGGCGGUAACAGGAGAAAGCUUGCUUUCUUGCUGACGAGCGGCGGACGGGUGAGUAAUGUAGUGGGGAUCUGCCCGAUAGAGGGGGAUAACUACUGGAAACGGUGGCUAAUACCGCAUGACGUCUACGGACCAAAGCAGGGCUCUUCGGACCUUGCGCUAUCGGAUGAACCCAUAUGGGAUUAGCUAGUAGGUGGGGUAA